CCUUUUGUAUAAUGGGUCAGCGACUUAUAUUCUGUAGCAAGGUUAACCGAAUAGGGGAGCCGAAGGGAAACCGAGUCUUAACUGGGCGUUAAGUUGCAGGGUAUAGACCCGAAACCCGGUGAUCUAGCCAUGGGCAGGUUGAAGGUUGGGUAACACUAACUGGAGGACCGAACCGACUAAUGUUGAAAAAUUAGCGGAUGACUUGUGGCUGGGGGUGAAAGGCCAAUCAAACCGGGAGAUAGCUGGUUCUCCCCGAAAGCUAUUUAGGUAGCGCCUCGUGAAUUCAUCUCCGGGGGUAGAGCACUGUUUCGGCAAGGGGGUCAUCCCGACUUACCAACCCGAUGCAAACUGCGAAUACCGGAGAAUGUUAUCACGGGAGACACACGGCGGGUGCUAACGUCCGUCGUGAAGAGGGAAACAACCCAGACCGCCAGCUAAGGUCCCAAAGUCAUGGUUAAGUGGGAAACGAUGUGGGAAGGCCCAGACAGCCAGGAUGUUGGCUUAGAAGCAGCCAUCAUUUAAAGAAAGCGUAAUAGCUCACUGGUCGAGUCGGCCUGCGCGGAAGAUGUAACGGGGCUAAACCAUGCACCGAAGCUGCGGCAGCGACACUGUGUGUUGUUGGGUAGGGGAGCGUUCUGUAAGCCUGUGAAGGUGUACUGUGAGGUAUGCUGGAGGUAUCAGAAGUGCGAAUGCUGACAUAAGUAACGAUAAAGCGGGUGAAAAGCCCGCUCGCCGGAAGACCAAGGGUUCCUGUCCAACGUUAAUCGGGGCAGGGUGAGUCGACCCCUAAGGCGAGGCCGAAAGGCGUAGUCGAUGGGAAACAGGUUAAUAUUCCUGUACUUGGUGUUACUGCGAAGGGGGGACGGAGAAGGCUAUGUUGGCCGGGCGACGGUUGUCCCGGUUUAAGCGUGUAGGCUGGUUUUCCAGGCAAAUCCGGAAAAUCAAGGCUGAGGCGUGAUGACGAGGCACUACGGUGCUGAAGCAACAAAUGCCCUGCUUCCAGGAAAAGCCUCUAAGCAUCAGGUAACAUCAAAUCGUACCCCAAACCGACACAGGUGGUCAGGUAGAGAAUACCAAGGCGCUUGAGAGAACUCGGGUGAAGGAACUAGGCAAAAUGGUGCCGUAACUUCGGGAGAAGGCACGCUGAUAUAUAGGUGAAGUCCCUCGCGGAUGGAGCUGAAAUCAGUCGAAGAUACCAGCUGGCUGCAACUGUUUAUUAAAAACACAGCACUGUGCAAACACGAAAGUGGACGUAUACGGUGUGACGCCUGCCCGGUGCCGGA
Molecule: ribosomal RNA, 1283 nt
Filed under: Escherichia coli
Lineage: Bacteria; Pseudomonadati; Pseudomonadota; Gammaproteobacteria; Enterobacterales; Enterobacteriaceae
Description: partial 23S ribosomal RNA
Rfam family: Bacterial large subunit ribosomal RNA
Source: RNAcentral